RNAcentral lists this signal recognition particle RNA (99 nucleotides) under Actinomycetota bacterium. Its description in RNAcentral is "signal recognition particle sRNA small type". It matches the Rfam family "Bacterial small signal recognition particle RNA". From Rfam's summary of the family: The signal recognition particle (SRP) is a universally conserved ribonucleoprotein involved in the co-translational targeting of proteins to membranes. Archaeal SRP consists of a 7S RNA and homologues of the eukaryotic SRP19 and SRP54 proteins. Lineage: Bacteria; Bacillati; Actinomycetota. The record is from RNAcentral.
GCAGACCCCUCGUGCGGCGCUCCUCUCGCUGAACUCCCCCAGGGCCGGAAGGCAGCAAGGGCAAGCGGGCUCUUGGCGGGUGCGCGAGGGGUCCUUCAU